This 253-nucleotide ribosomal RNA is filed under the name uncultured prokaryote. RNAcentral describes it as "partial 16S ribosomal RNA". It matches the Rfam family "Bacterial small subunit ribosomal RNA", at positions 525 to 777 of the family's 1533-position model. The record is from RNAcentral.
ACGUAGGGUGCAAGCGUUAAUCGGAAUUACUGGGCGUAAAGCGUGCGCAGGCGGUUUCGUAAGUCUGUCGUGAAAUCCCCGGGCUUAACCUGGGAAUGGCGAUGGAGACUGCGAGGCUAGAGUUUGGCAGAGGGGGGUGGAAUUCCCAGUGUAGCGGUGAAAUGCGUAGAUAUUGGGAGGAACACCGGUGGCGAAGGCGGCCCCCUGGACCGGUACUGACGCUGAGGCGCGAAAGCGUGGGGAGCAAACGGGA